This is a long non-coding RNA of Parus major (Great Tit), 1080 nucleotides long. RefSeq lists it as uncharacterized. The record is from RefSeq and is a predicted model, not a curated record. The transcript has 2 exons. NCBI's taxonomy places the organism in Eukaryota, Metazoa, Chordata, Aves, Passeriformes, Paridae.
CCAGAAGCCUCUGUGAGUGUUUAAAGUGCUCGAUCACCAAGGCCACCCAAACCCAGACAUGGCACAGCACAGGGAGUCCCGGUGAAGCUGCAGGAAGCACCAGGAGAACACAGAAGAUGCACAAGCUUUACUCAGAGGAUGUAACUGAAGACUGAAGAGCAGGGAAAGUGUAAAAUGAAGAACCACAAAAAGCAGGUGUCAUGAAGGAUAUGAUUCCUCUGAAACAACUGCCUGCCUUGCAGCUGAUCUCUCCCUGCUGCUGCAACUCCAAGGUGCAUAUCAACUUGGUGUCCAGAAUUUUAGAAGUUGACCAGGAAGCACCAAGCUGACAGACAGUGGCUGGGGCUCAAAGCCCAUAAGAAGGUCUAAAUCUAUUCUGGACAAGUAUCACUAUGUGCUUGCCCCAUUCUUAUUCUUCUCUAUUUAAACAUCCAUUGUGUGUUGUUAGGCACGUGAAAUGCCAGGAGAGAAACAAAAUUAAAAAUCUAAUUCAAUACUUGCUGACAUAUUUUGCACAUCACAAUAAGAACACUGCAUAACUUUAAUGUAGCUCAGUUGUUCCAGCAUUUAAACAUCAUCCUUCCCAUGUCUGGGUCCCAGAGGCGGGCACAGCACUGCGGGUGGGGUCUCACCAGGGCAGAGCAGUGGGGCAGAAUCCUCUCCCUCCACCUGCCUUGGAUGCCACCCAGGACAUGUUUGGUUUCUGGGCUAUCAGAGCACACUGCUGGGUCAUGUCCAACUUCUUGUCCACCAACACCCCAAGCCCUCAUCAGGGCUGCUCCAAUCCAUUCCCUGCCCAGUCUGUGUUUGUGCUUGGGAUUGCACCAACACAGCUGCAGGACCUGGAACUUGGCCUUGCUGAGCUCCCCAAGUUUCACUCAGGCCCAGCUCUGGCUCACCUAAACAAAACACAUUGUAUUUAACCAGUCUGAUGCUGUAUUUGUGAAAAGAAACUUGAUUUUGAAACUAUGUAAGUUUAACUGAUGAUGGCAAAUAAAAGCACAUGUAUUUUUCUGUUUUACACACACCAUCUUCACAAAUGCUCCUGAAAAAAAAGUUAAAUAAAGUUCUUUAUAAUAA